Long non-coding RNA from Cavia porcellus (domestic guinea pig), 1156 nucleotides. RefSeq lists it as uncharacterized. Lineage: Eukaryota; Metazoa; Chordata; Mammalia; Rodentia; Caviidae. The record is from RefSeq and is a predicted model, not a curated record. The transcript has 2 exons.
AGGGCGGCGCGGCCAGGCGCGCCCUGGGCUCCGGUGACCGCGGCUGUGCUCUGGGCGUCUUUCUGUUCUGGGGUCCCCGUGUGGUCUCCUCAGCUGUCUCACACACUUAGACCCGUUUUCCAGUUGAGCGUCUCCCCAAGGAGCAGAGUUUGAGGCGCGGGUGCAGGGGUGCUGCGUGAGGGUACUUUCUGGAUGCGAGAGGACGAGAAAACAACACUGAUCUGAAAGGUGUGGGUACUUUCUAGUAAUUGGAAAGCAACAUCGUCCGAGACUCAAAAAGAGGUGUAAAGAUAAGAACCAUCUUUUGCCUGCUCUAGGACCUUCAAACCACCGCCACCACCUCACGCGUGCCCGACCGCGCUCCCGGUAGCGAGGUGAGGUCUCUUGACCCCAGGCUGUACGCGAGGGCUCGCUGGGGAUUUACUCGCUGCCACUGGGUGGGCAUGGGGGUCUUGUUUAUUUAAGUCUAUCCAUCUGCAACAGGAGUAGAUGCGAAAUGGACUUUUUUUCAGCUCAAAUCAGCCCGAACCCCUCGGGCAGGUGAGGGGUGCCGGCGACGCAGGAAAGGUGGACACCACAUUCUCAAGGCUCUGCAGUGAGUCAGACACGCGAGUCCUGACUCCAUGCCGAGUCCUGGACUCACAAGACAGCUCCUCACUGUUGCAAUUGCAAAGCGUUGGCAUCAGAACUGCUGAACAGUCAAACGAGUAGUCAUAGAUUUGGGGGGAGGGGCCGGGGGCGGAUACACUGCGCCUUGGGUUUACAUCUUCCCACGUCUUCAAGGGAAGCUUUGAGGCUUUUUAUGCUCAUCUUUGCCAUUGGUCAGCUGGAUUCAGAGUCAUCCUGUGGGUGCUGGAAUAUCUAGAAGUUUUGUCUGCUUCCCAGACAAAAAUAAAACAUCAAAGGCAUUUUAGUGAUAAUCCUCGGAGAACUAAACCGGUCAAAACUGGAGAGAUUCAUUUUUGCUUCCAUUAAAAAAAUUUUUUUUAAAAAAUCAAACCUUUAAAAUUAGGCAAAUUUUGUAUGAAAGAAUAAAGCAGAUAGCCAUUCAGGGUAGAACACAGGAGUUCAAAUCCUACCAGGGAAAGGUAUCUUCCCUGCACUAACUUGUUUCAGCAAUGCGUUAUGGCUUAUUUUUGACAUGCAAAUACGAAAA